RNAcentral lists this non-coding RNA (148 nucleotides) under Pan troglodytes (chimpanzee). Lineage: Eukaryota; Metazoa; Chordata; Mammalia; Primates; Hominidae. The record is from Rfam by way of RNAcentral.
GCUGGGCGUGGUGGCGGGCGCCUGUAAUCCCAGCUACUCAGGAGGCUGAGGCAGGAGAAUAGCUUGAACCCAGGAGGCGGAGGUUGCAGUGAGCCGAGAUUGUGCCACUGCACUCCAGCCUGGGCAACAGAGCAAGACUCUGUCUCCA